AUUGAACGCUGGCGGCAUGCCUAACACAUGCAAGUCGAACGGGGUAGCAAUACCCAGUGGCGGACGGGUGAGGAAUACAUAGGAAUUUGCCUUUAGGUGGGGGAUAGCCCGGGGAAACGUACGGAGUAAUAACCGCAUGAUGUCGAAAGAACCAAAGUAGGGGAUCGCAAGACCUUGCGCCUUUAGAGAAGCCUAUGUCUGAUUAGCUAGUUGGUAGGGUAAUGGCCUACCAAGGCGACGACAGUAACUGGUCUGAGAGGACGAUCAGUCACACCGGAACUGAGACACGGUCCGGACUCCUACGGGAGGCAGCAGGUGGGGAAUAUUGGACAAUGGGCGAAAGCCUGAUCCAGCAAUGCCGCGUGUGU
RNAcentral lists this ribosomal RNA (368 nucleotides) under uncultured bacterium. RNAcentral's name for it is "bacterial SSU rRNA". It matches the Rfam family "Bacterial small subunit ribosomal RNA", at positions 30 to 406 of the family's 1533-position model. The record is from RNAcentral.